RNAcentral lists this ribosomal RNA (497 nucleotides) under uncultured bacterium. RNAcentral's name for it is "partial 16S ribosomal RNA". It matches the Rfam family "Bacterial small subunit ribosomal RNA", at positions 28 to 506 of the family's 1533-position model. The record is from RNAcentral.
GAUGAACGCUGGCGGCGUGCCUAAUACAUGCCAGUCGAGCGAACAGAUGAGGAGCUUGCUCCUCUGACGUUAGCGGCGGACGGGUGAGUAACACGUGGAUAACCUACCUAUAAGACUGGGAUAACUUCGGGAAACCGGAGCUAAUACCGGAUAAUAUAUUGAACCGCAUGGUUCAAUAGUGAAAGACGGUUUUGCUGUCACUUAUAGAUGGAUCCGCGCCGCAUUAGCUAGUUGGUAAGGUAACGGCUUACCAAGGCAACGAUGCGUAGCCGACCUGAGAGGGGGGACGGCCCACCCGGGAAGGGGAAACGGGCCCAGACCCCAAGGGGGGGAGGAAGGGGGGAACUUUCGGAAAGGGGGAAAAGCCUAACGGAGCAACGCGGGGGGGGGAAGAAGGUGUUUGGGUUGGAAAAACCUUUUUAUUGGGAAAAAAAAAAGGGUAAAGUAACUAGGCCCGCCUGACCGGUACCAAAUAAAAAAGCCACGGCUAAUUCGGG